This 479-nucleotide ribosomal RNA is filed under the name uncultured bacterium. RNAcentral's name for it is "partial 16S ribosomal RNA". It matches the Rfam family "Bacterial small subunit ribosomal RNA", at positions 28 to 507 of the family's 1533-position model. The record is from RNAcentral.
GAUGAACGCUAGCGGGAGGCCUAACACAUGCAAGCCGAGCGGUAUUUGUUCUUCGGAACAGAGAGAGCGGCGCACGGGUGCGGAACACGUGUGCAACCUGCCUUUAUCUGGGGGAUAGCCUUUCGAAAGGAAGAUUAAUACCCCAUAAUAUAUUGAGUGGCAUCAUUUGAUAUUUAAAACUCCGGUGGAUAGAGAUGGGCACGCGCAAGAUUAGAUAGUUGGUGAGGUAACGGCUCACCAAGUCAAUGAUCUUUAGGGGGCCUGAGAGGGUGAUCCCCCACACUGGUACUGAGACACGGACCAGACUCCUACGGGAGGCAGCAGUGAGGAAUAAUGGACAAGGGGUUAGCGCCUGAUCCAGCCAUCCCGCGUGAAGGACGACGGCCCUAUGGGUUGUAAACUUCUUUUGUAUAGGGAUAAACCUACUCUCGUGAGAGUAGCUGAAGGUACUAUACGAAUAAGCACCGGCUAACUCCGUG